GCGUGGGGCUCCGGCCCUGUCGUGAUAGAACCCUUGCCUUUUGAGUACCGUCCGUUUCCUCGGCAGGCUCGCCUGCCAAUGGGGACCCCCAAUAAACGCUUUUUAUGUACCUGUAUCAGUCUGACAAACAAACAAAGUUA
RNAcentral lists this unclassified non-coding RNA (140 nucleotides) under uncultured Preussia. Its description in RNAcentral is "sequence contains ITS1". Lineage: Eukaryota; Fungi; Ascomycota; Dothideomycetes; Pleosporales; Sporormiaceae. The record is from RNAcentral.